UACACAGUGAAGUACCAUGAUGUGCGUCACGAGCCUGUCGGUGUUCGCGGUCUUCCUCGCGCUUCUCUCACAGUCGUUUGGAUCCCCGAUGGCGCAUGCGCAUCAGGGGGACACAGGAUCGCACCCAGCGCACGAUGUGCAUCCGGAGCCAGGUUUUCAUGCUGUCCAUCACCCUGUGAAAGCGAUGUUGCGGGAUGAAAAUGAAUUGGUUGCAGGAUCUGGAUUGGGAAUGCUAGCAGUGUGAACUGGAUGAGGGGAAGAGGAUGGAAGAACUAAUUUUGUGGUUUCGUUGACGUGGUGAGCCUCAAGUAACUU
Clarias gariepinus (North African catfish) is the source of this 315-nucleotide long non-coding RNA. RefSeq lists it as uncharacterized. The transcript has 4 exons. The record is from RefSeq and is a predicted model, not a curated record. Lineage: Eukaryota; Metazoa; Chordata; Actinopteri; Siluriformes; Clariidae.